UGGAAAUAUUGCAUAAUUUCAUUAAUAGAUUUCAGAUUCAGUCAUUGAACAGAUGUGUGAGUGACCCAGUAUUAGGCUGUUUGAUGGAAACUGAGACGUGGGGAUGUAAUUUCUACUCUAAGGAAUUUAUUAUAGUCUAGUAAUUUAUUUUGUUUGCCAGAACCUGACAUAUGUUUUAUAAAUAAAUGUUGUGUUUUCAUGAUUGAGUAAAAAUAGAACAAUACUCAUUUUCUAAGUAAAAUCUUUGUGAUAUUUUAAUUCUCUUUCAGUUGCUAACAACUAUUUCUGUAGUCUUAUUUUCUAACAGCUUUUUAGUAUUUGAGCAAACCAGACUCCCAUUGGUUAAAGUAUAUAGUAAAAUAAGAAUUGCUUGUUCAACUACCUAUUUUACUUCAGUUGGUCUUUUUUUUUCCAAAUUGCUUUUCUGCAUAUACGCUACAUUGUAGGUAAGUUUUUUCCUGGUUCAGCUAACAGUUUUAAUUCUGAUGUUUAAUGUGAGACAUUUUGGAGGGUUUUUUUUUUUUUGGAAGGACAGCUUAAUAUUUUUUCUACAAUGAUUAAAAUCAUCCUGUGCCACUGAAGUGAGCUAUCCACUAAAAUAAAAGAUAGUAGUCAAAUGCAUCAGUGUGCAUUUUUAGUGAUGUUGUUGGUAGUUUGCCAGCUUUAUUUUCAAGUUCCUCCCAG
RNAcentral lists this long non-coding RNA (684 nucleotides) under Bos taurus (domestic cattle). Its description in RNAcentral is "long non-coding RNA NONBTAT018189". Lineage: Eukaryota; Metazoa; Chordata; Mammalia; Artiodactyla; Bovidae. The record is from RNAcentral.